GGGCAACCUACCUGUAAGACUGGGAUAACUUCGGGAAACCGGAGCUAAUACCGGAUGACAAUAAGGAACUCCUGUUCCUUAUUUGAAAGAUGGCCUCGGCUAUCACUUACAGAUGGGCCCGCGGCGCAUUAGCUAGUUGGUGAGGUAACGGCUCACCAAGGCGACGAUGCGUAGCCGACCUGAGAGGGUGAUCGGCCACACUGGGACUGAGACACGGCCCAGACUCCUACGGGAGGCAGCAGUAGGGAAUCUUCCGCAAUGGACGAAAGUCUGACGGAGCAACGCCGCGUGAGCGAUGAAGGCCUUCGGGUCGUAAAGCUCUGUUGUUAGGGAAGAACAAGUGCUAGUUGAAUAAGCUGGCACCUUGACGGUACCUAACCAGAAAGCCACGGCUAACUACGUGCCAGCAGCCGCGGUAAUACGUAGGUGGCAAGCGUUGUCCGGAAUUAUUGGGCGUAAAGCGCGCGCAGGCGGUUUCUUAAGUCUGAUGUGAAAGCCCCCGGCUCAACC
This 510-nucleotide ribosomal RNA is filed under the name uncultured Bacillus sp. RNAcentral describes it as "bacterial SSU rRNA". It matches the Rfam family "Bacterial small subunit ribosomal RNA", at positions 119 to 614 of the family's 1533-position model. The record is from RNAcentral. Lineage: Bacteria; Bacillati; Bacillota; Bacilli; Caryophanales; Bacillaceae.